This 521-nucleotide small RNA is filed under the name Cryptococcus neoformans H99. Its description in RNAcentral is "Cryptococcus neoformans var. grubii H99 hypothetical RNA". Lineage: Eukaryota; Fungi; Basidiomycota; Tremellomycetes; Tremellales; Cryptococcaceae. The record is from RNAcentral.
AACGGUUCUUACUUUUCAUUUAAUACCAUCACUUAUAGUAAAUACAGACGGCGGUAGUAGUAGUACUUAGUACACUUGUGACCCAAUAAAGCCGCAAUAAUACGCUCUACAAGUACAUCAUCACAGCAAUCAUCAUCACCACCCAAAGCCAUGACUCAUCAUAAAGAUGUGCGCUACUCUGAUUACCGUUCUUGGUAGCAUUAGUAUCGGGUGAUAUGUUAAACUGUACUUGUUGCAAUGUGCUUAGUAGGUGCAUGCGCCAUGCAGGAGUAGUGGAUAAUUCGAUAAUUCAGCAGCCGGCGGCAUCUCCUGCGGCUAGAAAAGCAUGCUAAACAAUUAUCAAAUCUCCGUAGCACCAUAGAAAGGCACGAUAUCCAUAUUACUUAUAACUAGUGACUACCGAUGACAAGAACGAACGACCGGCAACAUCUGAACAUAUAGCGAAGCAAAGUAUUUGGAACCUGCAACGGUUGACGACGGUUCAACAAAUAGUCUAGAAAUGUUAUGCACAAGCAUGAUGG